This 254-nucleotide ribosomal RNA is filed under the name uncultured bacterium. Its description in RNAcentral is "partial 16S ribosomal RNA". It matches the Rfam family "Bacterial small subunit ribosomal RNA", at positions 524 to 776 of the family's 1533-position model. The record is from RNAcentral.
UACGGGGGGAGCAAGCGUUGUUCGGAUUUACUGGGCGUAAAGGGCGCGUAGGCGGCCACCGCAAGUCGACUGUGAAAUCUCUGGGCUUAACCCAGAACGGUCAGCCGAUACUGCGGGGCUAGAGUGCAGAAGGGGCAACUGGAAUUCUCGGUGUAGCGGUGAAAUGCGUAGAUAUCGGGAGGAAUACCAGUGGCGAAGGCGGCUUCCUGGCCUGUUCUUGACGCUGAGGCGCGAAAGCUGGGGGAGCAAACGGG